This 29-nucleotide ribosomal RNA is filed under the name Tacca chantrieri (black bat flower). Its description in RNAcentral is "partial 26S ribosomal RNA". Lineage: Eukaryota; Viridiplantae; Streptophyta; Magnoliopsida; Dioscoreales; Taccaceae. The record is from RNAcentral.
CCGUCCGUCUCAGGCCACGAGCCCUCGCA